GAUGAACGCUGGCGGCGUGCCUAAUACAUGCAAGUCGAGCGAACGGACGAGAAGCUUGCUUCUCUGAUGUUAGCGGCGGACGGGUGAGUAACACGUGGAUAACCUACCUAUAAGACUGGGAUAACUUCGUGAAACCGGAGCUAAUACCGGAUAAUAUUUUGAACCGCAUGGUUCAAAAGUAAAAGACGGUCUUGCUGUCACUUAUAGAUGGAUCCGCGCUGCAUUAGCUAGUUGGUAAGGUAACGGCUUACCAAGGCAACGAUGCAUAGCCGACCUGAGAGGGUGAUCGGCCACACUGGAACUGAGACACGGUCCAGACUCCUACGGGAGGCAGCAGUAGGGAAUCUUCCGCAAUGGGCGAAAGCCUGACGGAGCAACGCCGCGUGAGUGAUGAAGGUCUUCGGAUCGUAAAACUCUGUUAUUAGGGAAGAACAUAUGUGUAAGUAACUGUGCACAUCUUGACGGUACCUAAUCAGAAAGCCACGGCUAACUACGUG
Molecule: ribosomal RNA, 497 nt
Filed under: uncultured bacterium
Lineage: Bacteria
Description: partial 16S ribosomal RNA
Rfam family: Bacterial small subunit ribosomal RNA
Source: RNAcentral